UUGCUUCGGCGGGACCGCCCCGGCGCCCUCGGGCCCGGAACCAGGCGCCCGCCGGAGGCCCCAAACCCUCAUGUCUUUAGUGGUUUUCUCCUCUGAGUGA
Molecule: ribosomal RNA, 100 nt
Filed under: Albifimbria verrucaria
Lineage: Eukaryota; Fungi; Ascomycota; Sordariomycetes; Hypocreales; Stachybotryaceae
Description: partial 18S ribosomal RNA
Source: RNAcentral